GGAGAUUUCUUCCCAUGAACUCCUACAUUAGGCAUUAAGAAGUAAGAUCUAAAUUACCUGAGAAAUACUGAAAAAAUAAAGGGGUCCAAUAGCAUGCAACAACAAAGCAAUCAAAUGCAAGUAAAUAUUUAAAAGGCCAAAUGACCAGAAAAAUUUCGCAUCUCCAAAUAUUUCCAUGCAUUUUCGAUUUUAGCCUUAUUU
RNAcentral lists this unclassified non-coding RNA (201 nucleotides) under Hevea brasiliensis (rubber tree). Lineage: Eukaryota; Viridiplantae; Streptophyta; Magnoliopsida; Malpighiales; Euphorbiaceae. The record is from RNAcentral.